RNAcentral lists this ribosomal RNA (1133 nucleotides) under uncultured rumen bacterium. RNAcentral describes it as "bacterial SSU rRNA". It matches the Rfam family "Bacterial small subunit ribosomal RNA", at positions 47 to 1177 of the family's 1533-position model. The record is from RNAcentral.
CUUAACACAUGCAAGUCGAGGGGCAGCGCGGAGUAGCAAUACUCUGGCGGCGACCGGCGCACGGGUGAGUAACGCGUAUCCAACCUUCCCCUUAGUAGAGGAUAGCCCGGCGAAAGUCGGAUUAAUACUCUAUGUUGUGUUUUGAGGACAUCUGACGAACACCAAAGGUUCACCGCUAAGGGAUGGGGAUGCGUCUGAUUAGCUUGUUGGCGGGGUAACGGCCCACCAAGGCUACGAUCAGUAGGGGUUCUGAGAGGAAGGUCCCCCACAUUGGUACUGAGACACGGACCAAACUCCUACGGGAGGCAGCAGUGAGGAAUAUUGGUCAAUGGGCGAGAGCCUGAACCAGCCAAGUAGCGUGCAGGACGACUGCCCUAUGGGUUGUAAACUGCUUUUAUAGGGGAAUAAAGUGAGGUACGUGUACCUUUUUGUAUGUACCCUAUGAAUAAGGACCGGCUAAUUCCGUGCCAGCAGCCGCGGUAAUACGGAAGGUCCGGGCGUUAUCCGGAUUUAUUGGGUUUAAAGGGAGCGCAGGCUGGAUUUUAAGCGUGCUGUGAAAUGUACCGGCUCAACCGGUGACGUGCAGCGCGAACUGGAGUCCUUGAGUGAGUACGAGGUAUGCGGAAUUCGUGGUGUAGCGGUGAAAUGCUUAGAUAUCACGAAGAACUCCGAUUGCGAAGGCAGCAUACCAGUCCUUAACUGACGCUAAAGCUCGAAAGUGCGGGUAUCGAACAGGAUUAGAUACCCUGGUAGUCCGCACGGUAAACGAUGGAUGCCCGCUGUUGGCGAUAUACUGUCAGCGGCCAAGCGAAAGCGUUAAGCAUCCCACCUGGGGAGUACGCCGGCAACGGUGAAACUCAAAGGAAUUGACGGGGGCCCGCACAAGCGGAGGAACAUGUGGGUUUAUUCGAUGAUACGCGAGGAACCUUACCCGGGCUUGAACUGCAGAGGAAGGAUCUAGAGAUAGUGACGCCCUUCGGGGCCUCUGUGGAGGUGCUGCAUGGGUUGUCGUCAGCUCGUGCCGUGAGGGUGUCGGCUUAGUGCCAUAACGAAGCGCAACCCUUUCUCAGUUUGCAUCAGGUUAGCUGGGCACCUCUGGAGACUCCUGCCUCGUAGGGUGUGAAGUAAGUGGG